This 234-nucleotide ribosomal RNA is filed under the name uncultured bacterium. RNAcentral describes it as "partial 16S ribosomal RNA". It matches the Rfam family "Bacterial small subunit ribosomal RNA", at positions 524 to 756 of the family's 1533-position model. The record is from RNAcentral.
UACGUAGGGUGCAAGCGUUGUCCGGAAUUAUUGGGCGUAAAGAGCUCGUAGGCGGUUUUGUUGCGUCGGCUGUGAAAUCCCGAGGCUCAACCUCGGGUCUGCAGUCGAUACGAGCAAACUAGAGUGUUGCAGGGGAGACUGAAUUCCUGGUGUAGCGGUGAAAUGCGUAGAGAUCGUGAGGAAGACCAGUGGCGAAGGCGGGUCUCUGGACAGUUCCUGACACUUGAGGCACGA